UUCGGACCUGGCUCAGGGAGGGUUGGCAACGACCCCCCAGAGCCGGAAAGUUGGUCAAACUCGGUCAUUUUAGAGGAAGUAAAAGUCGUAACAAGGUUUCCGGUAGGUGAACCUGCGGAAGGAUCAUUACCGAGU
Molecule: ribosomal RNA, 135 nt
Filed under: Penicillium oxalicum
Lineage: Eukaryota; Fungi; Ascomycota; Eurotiomycetes; Eurotiales; Aspergillaceae
Description: partial 18S ribosomal RNA
Rfam family: Eukaryotic small subunit ribosomal RNA
Source: RNAcentral